UCAGGUCUACAACAGAGACAGAGGCCUGGGUCACAAUGGCCCCUGGUGGCUAGAUGAAACAUACUUCUUCCUCUUGUUCCUUGGGCCUUUUCCAUCGGCCAUCAAGACCUUCCAACUGAAACGUACUGAACGUUCACAGAUAUUGCUCGAAACACCUUAAUACUAGACAGAGGGCUGGCGAUGUCCCAGAACACUGACCUGAAGAUGUCUACUCCCUGACAUUAGUCAGGGCUCAUGUAAAUAUCAAUGGGAAGAGGCAAUAGACCGCAGCACAGUGGACCACCAGACAAUGGGAGCAUCUGGGAGCAUGCCAUGCUCAUACUUCACUGUAUCCCAGGCCUUUGGGAGAUGUGGGAAAAGCACACACUUCCAUAAUCUCCAGCUGGUCUUUGAGCAUGGACUCAAGAGUUAGAAUUUCAUUACAGAGAAAUCCAGCUGAUUCUGACCAUCUGGCAGGCAGCUGUCAGUGGCAGAUGUUAGGUAAUAUUCACUUUUAUGAAGAAACUUAGCCAGACUUAACUUAAAACAUGGCUUCAUAUAUCCUAGCCUGUUACCUCUUUGAACAUGGCUACACAGAAUGGAAUGUGAGACUUACAUAUCCUUCAGUAGGUAUCGGGGCACCUUCAACUCAACCUUAAAACUGGUGCAGACCAACCUGAGCAUUGCAGUGGAGCCUUCCUGAGGCUCCAAAUGGACACCUCAGUGUAGCCAAAUCUGCUCCAUGUCCAAGGCCUGAGAUAAUAUCUAAUGCAUGAAUGAAAGAAUACAGUAUAGAGCUCCUGAUGGGUCUCACUGUGUAGUCCUAGCUGUCCUGAAACUGGAAUUCAGUAUGGAGACCAGGCUGGUCACAAACUCACAAAGCUCUAUCUGCUGUGCUACCAUGCCUGGCCCUUCUUUCUUUUUAAGAGCUUCUCAGCAAAAUUCCUGUCAACCAAUAUGAACUGCAGUCUAACACCCUGCGUAUUUUAUGAUAGCAUCAACAACGCAACAAGGUAUAACUUGUGGUUAUCAUGCAGACGUAACAAACAAAAUGGCAGC
Molecule: long non-coding RNA, 1038 nt
Organism: Peromyscus maniculatus bairdii (prairie deer mouse)
Lineage: Eukaryota; Metazoa; Chordata; Mammalia; Rodentia; Cricetidae
Source: RefSeq, a predicted model, not a curated record